Molecule: transfer RNA, 71 nt
Filed under: Loxodonta africana (African savanna elephant)
Lineage: Eukaryota; Metazoa; Chordata; Mammalia; Proboscidea; Elephantidae
Rfam family: tRNA
About the family: Transfer RNA (tRNA) molecules are approximately 80 nucleotides in length.
Source: Rfam by way of RNAcentral
GCAUUGGUGGUUCACUGAUAGAAUUCUCACCUUCCAUGCAAAAGACCAAGGUUCGAUUCCUGGCCAAUGCA